Molecule: long non-coding RNA, 3260 nt
Organism: Labrus mixtus (cuckoo wrasse)
Lineage: Eukaryota; Metazoa; Chordata; Actinopteri; Labriformes; Labridae
Exons: 2
Source: RefSeq, a predicted model, not a curated record
ACAAACAAUGCAACCUUAAAAUCAAUCCUGUAACUUAUAGGAAGCCAGUGAAGAGAGGCUAGAACAGGGCUGAUAUGCUCACUUUCACGUGAGGCAGUCAGAAGCCUGGCAUUGCAGUUGAGAGAGGAUAGGUUUUAGUUUUGAGAUGGUUUGUAGCUGAAAGAAACUAGUUUUGACUACUGAUUUUACAUUCUGUUCAAAUGUGAAAGCGGAAUCAAAUAUUACUCCAAGUUUUUAAGCAUGUGGCUUGAUUAGGGAGGAAAGGUGACCUACACUGCUUGAGACCUGUUUUAUGGCUUCGGGGGGCCAAAAAUAAUUUUGGGCCAUCCAGCAUUUGAUGUCUUCCAGGAAUUGUGUAAGUGAAUUGAAGUCUGAUUGAUUUCUUGGUUUUCAGGGAAGAUAGAGUUGCAUAAUCAUCUGCAUAAAAGUGAUAAGAAAUGUUGUGCUUUUACCAAGCGGGAGAAAAUAAUAAGACCUAGGAUGGAGCCUUGAGGGACCCCCAGGACCGAUUGGCUGUAAAAGAAGUGGAAUUGCCUGUCUUGACUGAGAAAGUUCUGUUUUUUAAAUAGGAAGUGAACCAAUUCAGGGUGUCGGUUUAAAGCAAACACUCACAGUUAUGAGUUACGAUUCCUCAUGUUGUUUCUGCUUUAUUCUUCAAAUCUGGUACACAUAGCACUGCAGAAGCUGCAUUCAUCAUCAUCAACCUUUAUUUAAGUUCGGAGAGAUCAUUGAGGGCGACCCUCAUUUACAAUGAUGCUGAGAAAACAUACAUAAAUGAUAAACAAUGAGAUAAAGCUACUACAUAAAAUAAAAUCAAUAAAAGAGAAAUAAGAACAAUAAAAUAGAUACAAUAAAAUAAUUUAAAAGCUUGAAAUUACUACAGUGAUAAGUCAGUAAUUAGAAUCAAAUAAAACAGUUACAGUCAGGUAUUGGGUGGUUAAAAAUAAUAUUUCUAAAGUAUCCAUAAGGGAUAAAAGUGCUCAAAUUCAGGUCCUGUUGUAAAAUAUUCCAGGAGUUUGCAGCACUAACACUAAAAGCAGUUUUCCCCAGGUCAGUCCUGGCAUGAGGAACCUGGAGAACCAGCCUCUCUCUCGAGCGGGUUAAAAAUGGACCAGGGUUCAGAUGUAACAAUGAGGUGAUAUAUGAUGGAAGCUUUCUAGUAAGGGCUUUAUAGACAAAAAGAUGCCAGUGGUUAUUGCGUCUCUCAGUGAGGGAGGGCCAACCAACUUUAUUAUGAAGAAUGCAGUGGUGAGUCAUGUAGCUAUCACCAGUAAUGAAUCUAAUCGCAGAAUGGUAAACAGCAUCUAAGGGCUUUAGCGUAGUGGAAGAGUCAUGCCUAUAGACCACAUCACCAUAAUCCAAAACUGAGAGAAAAACUGCAUCAAUUAUCCUUUUCCGACAGAACAUGAGGAAAUGUAAUUUAUUUCUAUAUAGGUAAACAACCUUUUGUCGUAGUUUGACAGUAAGAUUAUCAAUAUGAAGUUUGAAUGUUAGUCUGUCAUCUAUCCAUAUACUGAGAUAUUUAUAGUCUUUAACUCUCUCGAUAAUAGAUCCUAGCAGGGUGGUAAUGUGAAGGUUAUUAUCAGUUUCACAUUUAGCCCUAGAAAACAACUUAAUUGCUCAGCAAUCAGAGAGGCAGAGAGACGGAGAAAGAGAGGAUCCAAUUUGUCUUCACCGGUAAAUUUCUUAGGAUCUAAGGUUUGAAGAGCCUCUAAAACUACAUAGAAUGAGACAGGCGAUAAGUUAAACUGAGAAGUAUGAUUUGGAGUGGAAAUACAGCCAUUGUCAGUGGGAGGAAGGUCAAUGCUAUGAGUGGGUGAUCUAUUAUCCACAUCCUCAAAGAUGUGACAUUCAUCAACAGAGCUGUCAAUCAUAUACCUUGAGUGGCAUCAAAUAACUGAAAACAUUUAAUGUUAAAGUAAUUUCUCAGAUAAAAGGAUGAAUUUAACACAAAAUGGCAUGAUAACUUUCAUGAUGGAACCAGUAUUGAGAAAAUGUAUCUGACGUCACGUUGAUGUCAUAGUUUGACCCAUCUGUUUACAUAGAAGGGACGGGGUUUAUUACCUAUCAUGCACCCAGUCAGUAGUGGGAGCUCUAAAUAUUUUGGCCUCUCAUGAGGUAAGGUAUUCUGCUGUCCAUUCUUUAUACAGUCUCUGGCUUAACUCUGCACAUGUUAAAGAGAUAAGAAAAAAGAGCGACAGAUGUUUGGAAGUUAUCUGCCUGGUUAUGCCAGGGGACUUAGAUUUUUUUAAAAUAUGGAUUUAUUGGUUGAUUUAUGAUGGGAAUGAUAUAAUUUAAAUUAAACAGUUGAGUCAAAAGUAUUUUCUUCAGCCAGAGAUAAGUGUUUGCUCUUUCUGCUCAAUUGCUCCUCAUGAUGUAUUUACCCCUCAUGUUCUGAGAAUGGACUGUAGAUGGCGUAGAUUGUGUGAAGGAGGACAAAUAGUGUAUACACAGAAACCAUACAGCCACAACUGACAUACAGGAAAUAGAGAUGAAGAAUUAUCAUAUUCUGUCCAAGUAUAAUACAUCCUGAUGUAUUCAUUGCUGACCAACAAAAGCACAAGUUUAUUGACCUCCUUCAAUAAACGUCCUUCAUACUGCCAGUCACAGCAGUAUGUACUGACCACUGCGGUGUACAAAGCAUGGCAUUUCAAGACUCUAAACUUCAGUUUGCAUUGACAGAUUGUUAUCUCUUAUUUACAUUCACUGCAUGUUUCGUAGAACCAUAAAGGUGAUCUUAGCCGUGCCUUAAACAUAUAGCAAGAGAUCUUUUGAUAACACAAAGCAUUUAUAAUUAUGGUUAACUUCUGGACCUCCAAACAUACUAUCUUUUCACUGUUCUGUAUUUUUUGUCAUUUUUCCAGGUUUAGUCUCAUGAUCACUGGGGGCCGAAUCUAUCGGACCUUUCAGCAUCUAAAAUAGUGCAGCCAAUUGUUACAAGAGCAUUUAGGGAUGAAGAACUGAUUAGCGGUGUGAAUCUGUGGUCUUUCAAAGCAUCAAUGGCUUACUUUCUGUUAUGGUCCUUGGCAAAAAUUGGAGACAGUGAUUGCGUUAUUUGUUUCGAACAAAUGUUAAUUCUUAAAUGAAGAAAUCAUGCACCACUUUCCACAUGUAACCUUUCUACUAUUAAGAGCUCAGUGUUGUUCAAUUGAAAUGUAAAGAGAGAGUAUUCUUGGACACAAAACACUGAUUACAACAUGUUUAUUGGUAAAUAUGUUCAUAUACUGUAUAUGUUAUCCAAAUUGAUAGAAUCUCUUCGG